UGUCAACACAGUUGGAAGUAUUAGCACCGCCGAGCAUGCCCGACGAUUGGCUAAGCAGUUGGGGAGAAGACCAUUGAUGCCUGAGCUGAUUUCGAGGACCCGGACAAGGAGAUCGGGAGGUGUUGUCGACGAGCGCACGAGGAUGUAUCUUGAAGAAUAUGAUAGACGACUUGCCAUUUUUCUGGAAAAUAAUCCUCAAUUCAUGCCAGCAGAGGGGGAGCCGCUUAACGCGGAUGUUGAUCACUACAUUUGGUGUGAGG
Vicia villosa (hairy vetch) is the source of this 260-nucleotide long non-coding RNA. RefSeq lists it as uncharacterized. NCBI's taxonomy places the organism in Eukaryota, Viridiplantae, Streptophyta, Magnoliopsida, Fabales, Fabaceae. The transcript has 3 exons. The record is from RefSeq and is a predicted model, not a curated record.